ACGGUUACUUUAGCUCCGAUUUUGAUGAUUUUUUACAGCUACACUCCUCGACCCUAUAAGAAUGCAUUGAACGAAUUCGAUCUUCAAUUUAAAAUAUCUGCACUAGUGGAUAAAUCUUAUUUUAUACUUAAUGUAAGUAUAACAUUAACUCUAAGUGUUUGUUUAAUCUACCGUUUUGAUGCGAUACGCAUUCUAUGAAGCGUUUUUCAAUGAUCCAACCGUCAAACUUGUUUGUACACACUCCGAGAUCGCAUACGUAAAAAAUCACAAAAAACAAACAUUAAGAGAUUAGGUAACAAAAUAAAAGUUUUCAACGGUUAUAAACGAAAAAUCACAAUUUAACGGUUAUUUUAGCUCCGAUUUUAAUCAUUUUUUACAGCUACAAUCCUCGACCCUAUAAGAAUGUAAUGAAUGAAUUUGAUCUUCAAUUUAAAAUAUUUACACUAGUGGAUACCA
This 456-nucleotide long non-coding RNA is filed under the name Malus domestica (apple). RNAcentral's name for it is "long non-coding RNA (MDOM_LNC010715)". Lineage: Eukaryota; Viridiplantae; Streptophyta; Magnoliopsida; Rosales; Rosaceae. The record is from RNAcentral.